ACAGUUCGGUCCCUAUCUGCCGUGGGCGCAAGAAGAUUGAGGAGAGUUGACCCUAGUACGAGAGGACCGGGUCGAACCAACCACUGGUGUACGAGUUGUCCUGCCAAGGGCACCGCUCGGUAGCUAUGUUGGGAUGUGAUAACUGCUGAAAGCAUCUAAGCAGGAAGCCAACUCCAAGAUGAAUCUUCUUUUAAGAGCUCAUAUAGACUAUGUGUUUGAUAGGCUGGGUGUGUAAUGGAUGAAAGUCCUUUAGCUGACCAGUACUAAUAGCUCGUCUGCUUAUCUUUUAAUAAGCAU
RNAcentral lists this ribosomal RNA (297 nucleotides) under Campylobacter concisus. RNAcentral describes it as "partial 23S ribosomal RNA". It matches the Rfam family "Bacterial large subunit ribosomal RNA", at positions 2626 to 2925 of the family's 2925-position model. Lineage: Bacteria; Pseudomonadati; Campylobacterota; Epsilonproteobacteria; Campylobacterales; Campylobacteraceae. The record is from RNAcentral.